Long non-coding RNA from Tympanuchus pallidicinctus (lesser prairie-chicken), 7548 nucleotides. RefSeq lists it as uncharacterized. Lineage: Eukaryota; Metazoa; Chordata; Aves; Galliformes; Phasianidae. The transcript is spliced from 17 exons. The record is from RefSeq and is a predicted model, not a curated record.
AGAAUUGUAGGGGUUGGAAGGGACCUCCAGAGUUCAUCGCGUCCAACCCCCCUGCCAAAGCAGGUUCCCUACAGCAGGUCGCACAGGUAGGCAUCCAGGCAGGUCUUGAACAUCUCCAGAGAAGGAGACUCCACCACCUCCCUGGGCAGCAUUGUGAUGCUUGAUGACUUCUGUGCAGAUCUCAUCACCGUUUCCUGUUAUUUUGCAAAGAUGUUCUUCUAACUGAGAAGUGCUAUACAGUCUCUUCUAGACGAGAUGUCAGACUAGAAUGGACAGUUUCUUAGCAUCUGAAUUGGAGCCCAGUACACUCCUUCAGCCAGAGAUCAUGUAGCAGUGAACUGACAUUCCCUCCAGAUUAUUUCCCCAAGAGAUUGCUGGCAGACAGGCUGCUCUUUGCCCGGCCUGAAGUACUGCAAGCUUUGUUUUCCCAAUAUUCAAGUGAUAAUGGUGCCAAACCAGAGCAGCAAAAGCAGACUGUGAAACUCAGUGAUGCUACUGCCAUCUCCAGCUGUCCUCCUCUCAUGCUCCCCCACAGGCAGCUUGCUUGGAUAGUGGACUCUAGGGAACACAUGUACUGCUGCCGGCGUCUCUCCACACCCACUCUGUGUGAUGACUACAGAAUCAUUUUAAUCAAGAAUGAAGACUACAUAAUUCAAGCAACAGGGUCAAAAGUCUGAUGUCUACAGGGAAAGUGCAUUGGUUUAACUUCAGUCAGAUUUUAAAUCUUGGUUUUAAGGCUUGGCUAAAUAAUUAGGUCAAACCACUGCAACAUUCCCACGUAACUAAGGCCUUAAAAAAGAAUUUUAAAGAUAUAUAUCUCAGUUAAAUACUUUAGCUACAGUCUGAAACGUAUUGAAGUCAAUGAGACAGGAAAGCAAGCUGCCAACAAGAUACACUCUGAAGUGUCUUUCUGAAUCAGUGGCUUCAUUCUGCUCUAAGGAACACACCUCCAUUUCAGCAAAAGUCAUCUUAGGAUCAUGCAACAGCCUAGCUUAAGACAGACCAAAACCACAGAGAUGUCUGCAUAAAUAUUCAGAUAACUGCCAUAUGCCGUGUGAUCGUGGCUGCUCCACUAUUCCAAAGCAUUCUAACUAGUACAAUGCCAUGAGCUGUUAUCAAGCUUUCCAGCAGGAUAGAUGGGCGUGUAAGACAAUGCCAGCUGUUCCUGCAUGUUUAGACACUGUAUGAUCUCCAUGUGCUUUGCUGGGUUUGUUGUUGCUUGCCUGGACUGAGGGAGCUAUCUCCAAGCCUUAAUUCCCUCACCUACAAACAGUCUUCUUGUAACUGGGAACUCAUGAUGUGAAUGAAGUCAGCAACAGCAUUUCGUAUGCAGCUUUUCCUGAGCAGAUUAUACUGACUGUGAAGAAAUCAAACUCUUCUAUCUUGCAUAAAAUUAUUGAUUGAUGCAUUUUCUUAGAUCUCUGCCAGUCCACGAAGCCUACAAGAGGACAGUGCUACAAAGGCUGCAGGAGAGUGCUGCAGGAAGCUGGAGGGAACUGAUUCUCAGCUAUACAUUCCAUUACAAAGAGACCGUGAUGAAACACGAGAGGACUGCGGACUGUUCCAGCUGAGAAUAAAGAAAUAAAAAACAGUGCCAUCUUGUGGCCUACAGUAUUCUGAGCAUUGCCAAGAGGAAAGAGGAAAAUCUUUUACACUAAGAAAAAAAUACAGAUAACUUCUGGUCAAACAGUAUUUGUUCACUGACACUAAAAAAAAUACCCGUUCAUAACAUCACUGGAGGAAUUCAUGUUAGACUGUGACCAAAGCAGAGAAAACCAUAACACAAGAACAUUAAUGGCAAGACAAAGGACCUGAACAAUACCACACUUUGGCCAGAGUACAGAAAUCAAAGCUCUACAAAAUGUACUGGGAGCAACAGGCAAGUUGAUAUCCUUUCCAUGAGCAAUAGGUGGCUUAGAUGAGAAACGGUAUUGCACACGUAUGAUUAGAUUGCCAAACAAGAUGACAGAAUGUUUUCUUCGGCAUUACAUGGCUAAAAUGACUUUAUCAUUUUGUACUAUACUGCCUUAAGCAAUAACCUGAGCAUGAGAUCUGUGCAGAUAUAUCUAGGCUUAAAGUCUAGAAAUCCUAGCUGAAUCAAAAAGUCUUCACGACUAUUUAUCUCCAGAGUUUAUGUUCUGUAUCAUUUUACUAGUGAUUCCUCUUUCCCAGCUGUGUGUCUUCUGCCUUAUCCAGACAGAACUAGAUCUAGUUACCCCUUUCUGGAAACCUCUGUAAUGUAUUCUUUGUGAUAUCCAAAUUAUAUCAUUGGUGACAUUAAUGGCAAAUGGGACCCAUUAGAAGGCGUCACAAGUGAGUUGUCAGAUGUUGAGGCCAUGACUUCUCCCUAUCUCUCCAGAUGACAGUGAGUAAAUAUUUUGAGGUAAGGGAUUUAGAUAGAAGUCUUUGAUCUUCUUGUGUGCGCUGCAGAAGCUUCUGAACUCAAACAGAGAUGGGCAGACAUCAAUCAUGCAAACAGACAGCUGUCACAAGAAGCAAUGCCACUUAUAAUUGGAAGUACAAUCCUUCUUCGAGUGCUGAAAUCUGGCUAAGAAGAUGAAAAUGUUCUUUCUGUCUUCUGCUGAGCUUCAAGGGAAAGGGAAGAGGGAAUUCAACUUGCUGGCAUCAUCCCCAGGCAAUUUUAUUGACUGUGUGGCUGUCAAAGGGGACUGACCGAAAGAUCAGAGAUGACCUGAUUGACCGGAUGGAAGAAUGAUCUUAGGAACUGGACUUCGGAUCUGAGCUCUCUCUUCUACAUCUGACAGAAGAAGCCAAAAAUCUUUCUACUGUCACCUCUCAGCUGUAGCUCACAGUAGGCAGUACAAUUCAGUCCCGUAGGUCUCUGGGCAUAAUGCCCCUUGGUGAAACUGGCCGUUCCAUACCUGGCACUGCCCUGAUCUCCCUAGAUCUCAAGUUAAAGUCAGAAGCACAGAGAGUUCCCUGAUACUCCAAGUGCAAAUAUCUACUGACGUUCUAGAAACUGUGUGUUUUAACCUGCUUGAUAUCAUAGCAAUGAAUUGUUCAUAACAAGUAUUGCUUUCUGCUAGCAUUAGACCUAGGAUUAAAGUUGAAUUAAUUCUUUUUUUGAACUCAGUAUGAACUUCAGACCCAAGAUGAAAUAUCUUAUUGUGUCUGUAUGAAGAUAUGAGGAAUGCAAAGAAACUCAAGGCAAGUGAAGUAAAUUUUGAGCUAUUGAGGUAAAUAGAAAAGCUGCUGUAACUACACUAGAGUCAGAAUUCCCUAGCAUGUGACAAAGUAGUAUGUUUUAAUAUUUGUGCUAAACAAUGACAACUGACAUAUCAGGUUAUCUUUAUGAGAAAGCAGCGUGGCUGAGAAGGCCAUUGAAAUGAAAUCAAGGCUUGAAAUAAUCACUGAAUAACGUUCUGUUGGAAGAUGAAAGUACUGUCACAACUAAGAAAAAAAUACUAACAAUUAGUAAUUUUACAAAGUGUCACAUUACUCAGAAUUUAUUAACUCAGAGCAAUUAAGACAAUAAAUCUGUCACUGCCUCAUGCAUUUGUGGUGGAGUUCCUUAUAAGAAGUCUCUUCUUUUUUAAAUCGAUGAACUUUGUUCAGUGAUUCCUGGCACUAGGUGCAUCAUUACAAAUAUUUCUAAAAUGAGGAAGAUCCUUGUCUAGAUGAGAGCUGAAAGCAAAUAGCUGAAACAAGAAAGCAGUUGCAACAUCUCAAUACAGCAUUCUUAUUAUGGCAAUUUAUAUUAAAAUGUCACUUAGAGAACCACAAAGGCCUCAUCAUAUUCCCAAACAGAGAACCACAAAGGCCUCCUCAUAUUCCCAAACUGUACCCUGUACCUGUCUGUCUGCCUUGCCUUCAUCUGCAUCAAAUAAUGAGUGAUGUUUCACUUGAAAAUCUUUAGAACAAUGAAUCAAAACACCUGUAAUAGAAUACAGAAAUAAAGUAUUUCCCACAAGUUAUGAGAAGUUUUUGCAAGGGAGAAAUUGGCUAAGGAGUCUUUUUCUAGCUUUAACUGCUAGAAUGACUUUGGAAAGUAGGACUGUGUGCUGAGUGGUAGGUACAUAUUUUUGCCUACCAUAGGCAAAUUGAAGAGAUACAGUAUUUAUCAUUUUAUUGACACGUUGACAAAUAACAAAGUCUACAAAGUUUUCUUUCUCCUGAAGACUUUAUACUACAGCCCAAUCAUUUAUGUGUGCCAAUAUACUUUACAACUCUACUGUGAAGUUGGCUGUGAAAAGAGUAUCAAAGUAUUGGGGUUAGUGCAAAGCGGUGAUUUAAAACAAGAGAGAGAGAAUGGAGCUUUCAAAUCUUCUUCAGAUUACAUCCAUUAAAUCUGAUUGCAAAGAAGAGGUUCAAAGAAAACAAUUUUAAUCAGACUACUGGGGCUGAGAACACCUUUCUUAAAAAAAAAAGAAUACAUGGAGUCUUAAUUUUCUUCAAAGGAAGGGUCAAUUAAAAUAAAUACUUUUAAUUCUUUACAGCAACCUUUUUCUGUUGGAUUAACUUCAAUUAAUCCUUCAUCUUCUAAGUUGCAUUGGCACAAAAAUCUAAUGUCUUUAUUUUCAGAGGAACAUUGCAAAACUCUAUCAUGCGUCCUUGUGCAAAGAACUUGAAGGAUCUCAUACACACAGAGUGAGAGCAUCAAAACCAACUUUCAGGAAUUACAUAGUUUUUUUUUUACAAGUAUGGUCACUCCUCGGAAUUUUCCAGAGUUACUUUCUUUGUGAUUCUCUCUGAGCCUGGCUCUAUCAGUCCAAUAAUAAUAUCAGUUUACUCAUAGCAGUGAACAAAACACAUAAUCCACUGCUUCUUUGGAAAAUGAACUCUGGAUGUACAUCACUACUGAACCUCUGUUACGUAUAAAGCAGGCUUUAUAAAUCCCAGUGAUUAUAUUUCACCCACCACCUUUCUUAAAAUAAAGAGUACAAUUUUGAACAGUCGGUUCAGAGAGAAACAACAGGGUGAGGAGAGCUAUCUUCCUUCUUCUUCAAUGAGAAUGUUUGCUUUAGUUCAGACUCAGCAGGCCAAAAGACAAGAAAGGUGUUUCUGCCUAGGGGGGAGGCCAACAACAAGAAGUGAGAUGAUAUAGCAAUAUGCUUCUGCAGCAGCACAAAGCCUCAUGGUUGAGUGGGAUCUUGCAGGGAAACUUGUAGAAAGUGCACCCAACUCAUUAAACCUGAGAGCAGGGAGGUCUGUUUCUUGUGUUGCACUGGUUGUUACAACAGCUGGCUAAAUUCAACUGCAGUUGUAGUGGACAGCAGCAGUUGGGGGCCUAGCUUGUUGUCUGGUCAUGAGGGACCCCUACUAUAAGCUGUCAUCACUCAUCUAAUGAGCCUGAAACAAGAACAAAGACUCCUUGGCCAUACUUGCUAUCUUUAGAAGAGAUGGCAUGAACCCACAACUACUGUGUGUGGCAAGACCAGUUGUAGCUGAGCUCUGAGUACUGAUGACAGAGGGUCGGGAUCAAUUUGCAUGCUUAAUCCCAGGCUCAAGUGGGCAGGCACUGUGGCUUCUCAGUGCACAGGCACAUGUGCACUUCUUCUGCUUUAAGCUUUAAAAGUACUUGGAACUCUCUGAAGCCCUGGUAUCCAAACCAGAUUAAAGCAUCCAGCAGCUUGAUUUUUAGAAGUCUGUCCUUUGUGUGACCAUUUUUUCUCAUUUUGUUUAUCAAUUGUUCACUUUUAUACUAAGAUAAAACCUAAGACUAAACAAACACUGUUUAUAAAUGCCAUGGGUUGACCUCAACUGUGUAUGAUCAACUGAUAAUAAACAUAUUACAGUAUCAACAGCUGCAUAAGGAUUUAAGAAUACGAAGUCCUCAGCAAUAAAAACUACUGAAUAACAUCCAUAUUUGUAUCUCCACUCAUAGCCUCCUGACAUAUCAGCUAGAUUUUUCUUGUGAGAUAUUUGAUUGCAGAAAUUGCAGUUUGGUUGUUGUGAUAAAUGUCUGGCCCACUGUUUGUCUGCGUGCCACGAUGCCUGGGUGAUCAGCCAGGUUUCAGGGUUACCCGAGUAUUUUUGUAAACAGACUCCAGACCAUAAGACCUCUUUGCAGAAACAGGGAACCAAGGGAUUUUAAGGAAUAUUUUGAGGAAGAAGGGCACAGUAAGUCAGAGGAAUUGUGGUAUCCUUAAAGUUUCUUCAUUUAGAGAUACUCCUAGUUUGUCUUAUAUGGAAUCUGAGCCCUGGUUAUUGGGGACUGAGAAAAUGGGUAAAAAGUUGCCAUAAACCAUUUUAUGUUCUUAAGAUUUCACUAGUGAGAGUUCUGCACACUCUUUGGGUGGCUUAUGUGUAAAGCUGGUUUCCAUGCCAACUAAUGAGCCCUCUUCCUAAAUUGUGGACAGCUGGCUGAAAACUCCAAUUAGAGCCUCAUCUUUGCAAACGUGUGUGCUUGUGUUUGACUUAAAAUGCAGAAAUGUAGUAUUUGUGUGCUUAAAGCUAGCUCAAUAUGUACAAGCUUGGAGGAUUUGUCUAUUUUCUGGAUGUAGCAGCACCUUCAGGGUCUAUGCAAGUUUCAAUGAGGACCACAUCUGCUGUGAAGCCCAACUUGCCUGGGUAAUGUUGUGGGCUGACCACAGGCUUGUGGAGGUGGUUGGGGGGAAAGGGUUUUCUUUGUUAGAAGACUAUGUUGUUGGCUUCACAAGCGCUGUGUUCUCUUAUGCAUUUUGAACAAGUCAAAGCAUACAGCAGUAAAAGCAGCAGGGGGAAAAUAACUGUAUAUUAUUCAUAUCUAAGUAUAUUUAGCUUUAGGCUCUCAAUGAAUCUCAGCAUGAGUUAUUACCCACUGAACCAAGCCUUAGGCUGGUUUAAUUAUAGGAACAUCUUAUUAAAAGCGAAGGAAAUGAGAAUGAAAAUUGAGUCAGUAUUUGUGGAGUACCAUCUGGGUGAGUAUCUGGAGCUCAUUACAGGUUUCUGAUCUUACAAUUAGCUAUCUCAAAUACAACACCCCUAAGUGUCUAGGAAUAAUCUUUAACUCAGAAGAUGUUAAUUUGGGUUGAUUCACUAGAACCAGGGUUCACGAUCUGGUAUACUUACAGCAUUUGAAAUUGAUUUGUGAGUAUAUUUUUGGACUAGAAAAAAUGUGCAUGGCUACAAAGAGCUCAUCAGGAUGAGAAAUUUUAAAAUGAAGAUCCUGUGGGCACAUCUUGGAUCUUUAGUGAAUCAACGGUGUUUUGACAAAGGUGACUGCUUAGCUGGGGCUUUACAAAUCCUUCCCAUCUCGCAUGCUUGUGCUAUGUGCCCCAAGCUGUGUGCUUCUGUCUGAUAAUUGAAAGGGCUAAGGGGAUUGGAGUGGCAUAAAUCUCUUCCCUUAAAUACUUGAUAAAUGAAAGGUGGAUCAAAUGCCAUGGUUUGUGGUGCCAGAAAACCCCAGAAUUUUGGUAUGUUGUUUGGUAUGCUGACCAGAGGAUAGAUUUUUUUCUUGGUGUUAUGUAACUAGCUUGAAAAACUAGAGAUUCUUACUUCUUCUAGAAAGUUUGUUAGUGUUUGAGUGGCUAAUUUCAUUUUUGACAUAUCUCAUUCUCUUUUGGGGAGUAAUAUGACGGUGGUAUAGUAGCGUAGGAGCACUGCUGC